This 581-nucleotide ribosomal RNA is filed under the name uncultured bacterium. RNAcentral's name for it is "partial 16S ribosomal RNA". It matches the Rfam family "Bacterial small subunit ribosomal RNA", at positions 355 to 932 of the family's 1533-position model. The record is from RNAcentral.
UGGGGAAUUUUGGACAAUGGGCGAAAGCCUGAUCCAGCAAUGCCGCGUGUGUGAAGAAGGCCUUCGGGUUGUAAAGCACUUUUGUCCGGAAAGAAAUCCUUGGCUCUAAUACAGUCGGGGGAUGACGGUACCGGAAGAAUAAGCACCGGCUAACUACGUGCCAGCAGCCGCGGUAAUACGUAGGGUGCAAGCGUUAAUCGGAAUUACUGGGCGUAAAGCGUGCGCAGGCGGUUUGCUAAGACCGAUGUGAAAUCCCCGGGCUCAACCUGGGAACUGCAUUGGUGACUGGCAGGCUAGAGUAUGGCAGAGGGGGGUAGAAUUCCACGUGUAGCAGUGAAAUGCGUAGAGAUGUGGAGGAAUACCGAUGGCGAAGGCAGCCCCCUGGGCCAAUACUGACGCUCAUGCACGAAAGCGUGGGGAGCAAACAGGAUUAGAUACCCUGGUAGUCCACGCCCUAAAACGAUGUCAACUAGUUGUUGGGGAUUCAUUUCCUUAGUAACGUAGCUAACGCGUGAAGUUGACCGCCUGGGGAGUACGGUCGCAAGAUUAAAAACUUAAAGGAAUUGACGGGGUCAUAGCUG